AGCAGAAAGAAAGAAAGAAAGAGCAGAAUGUUUUAAACUCCAUAUUUUCUGUAUAAUUUGCUGGUUAUAAGCAGAUCUAUGCACGAGACUCCAUUAUACCACACUGAUAGCUUCUCAAAGAUUAUAAAUAUGAUACAUGUAAGCAGGCAUGCACAGUUACUUGUCAUCACAAGGAUCAGAUUUCAAGUACCAGAGUAGUCCUAACUCCUAAAUUUUCCCAAUUUGUCAAAAGUACAUGUA
Saccostrea cuccullata (small rock oyster) is the source of this 240-nucleotide long non-coding RNA. RefSeq lists it as uncharacterized. Lineage: Eukaryota; Metazoa; Mollusca; Bivalvia; Ostreida; Ostreidae. The transcript has 3 exons. The record is from RefSeq and is a predicted model, not a curated record.